GAUGAACGCUAGCUACAGGCUUAACACAUGCAAGUCGAGGGGCAGCAGGACGAUAGCUUGCUAUUGUUGCUGGCGACCGGCGCACGGGUGAGUAACGCGUAUCCAACCUUCCCCUUAGUAGGGCAUAGCCCGGUGAAAAUCGGAUUAAUACCCUAUGUUCUUCGUAGAGGACAUCUGAAAUGAAGCAAAGGUUCACCGCUAAGGGAUGGGGAUGCGUCUGAUUAGGUAGUAGGCGGGGUAACGGCCCACCUAGCCGACGAUCAGUAGGGGUUCUGAGAGGAAGGUCCCCCACAUUGGAACUGAGACACGGUCCAAACUCC
RNAcentral lists this ribosomal RNA (320 nucleotides) under uncultured Prevotella sp. RNAcentral's name for it is "bacterial SSU rRNA". It matches the Rfam family "Bacterial small subunit ribosomal RNA", at positions 28 to 339 of the family's 1533-position model. The record is from RNAcentral. Lineage: Bacteria; Pseudomonadati; Bacteroidota; Bacteroidia; Bacteroidales; Prevotellaceae.